RNAcentral lists this ribosomal RNA (795 nucleotides) under Salmonella enterica. RNAcentral describes it as "partial 23S ribosomal RNA". It matches the Rfam family "Bacterial large subunit ribosomal RNA", at positions 2139 to 2925 of the family's 2925-position model. Lineage: Bacteria; Pseudomonadati; Pseudomonadota; Gammaproteobacteria; Enterobacterales; Enterobacteriaceae. The record is from RNAcentral.
CAGGAUAGGUGGGAGGCUUUGAAGUGUGGACGCCAGUCUGCAUGGAGCCGUCCUUGAAAUACCACCCUUUAAUGGCUGGUGUUCUAACGUAGACCCGUGAACCGGGUUGCGGACAGUGUCUGGUGGGUAGUUUGACUGGGGCGGUCUCCUCCUAAAGCGUAACGGAGGAGCACGAAGGUUGGCUAAUCCUGGUCGGACAUCAGGAGGUUAGUGCAAUGGCAUAAGCCAGCUUGACUGCGAGCGUGACGGCGCGAGCAGGUGCGAAAGCAGGUCAUAGUGAUCCGGUGGUUCUGAAUGGAAGGGCCAUCGCUCAACGGAUAAAAGGUACUCCGGGGAUAACAGGCUGAUACCGCCCAAGAGUUCAUAUCGACGGCGGUGUUUGGCACCUCGAUGUCGGCUCAUCACAUCCUGGGGCUGAAGUAGGUCCCAAGGGUAUGGCUGUUCGCCAUUUAAAGUGGUACGCGAGCUGGGUUUAGAACGUCGUGAGACAGUUCGGUCCCUAUCUGCCGUGGGCGCUGGAGAACUGAGGGGGGCUGCUCCUAGUACGAGAGGACCGGAGUGGACGCAUCACUGGUGUUCGGGUUGUCAUGCCAAUGGCACUGCCCGGUAGCUAAAUGCGGAAGAGAUAAGUGCUGAAAGCAUCUAAGCACGAAACUUGCCCCGAGAUGAGUUCUCCCUGAGACUACAAGUCUCCUGAAGGAACGUUGAAGACGACGACGUUGAUAGGCCGGGUGUGUAAGCGCAGCGAUGCGUUGAGCUAACCGGUACUAAUGAACCGUGAGGCUUAACCUUACA